GAUGAACGCUGGCUACAGGCUUAACACAUGCAAGUCGUGGGGAAACGGCAUUAUGUGCUUGCACAUUCUGGACGUCGACCGGCGCACGGGUGAGUAUCGCGUAUCCAACCUGCCCCUUACUUGGGGAUACCCCGUUGAAAGACGGCCUAAUACCCGAUGUGUUUCAUUGACGGCAUCCGAUAUGAAACAAAGGUUUUCCGGUAAGGGAUGGGGAUGCGUCUGAUUAGCUUGUUGGCGGGGCAACGGCCCACCAAGGCGACGAUCAGUAGGGGUUCUGAGAGGAAGGUCCCCCACAUUGGAACUGAGACACGGUCCAAACUCCUACGGGAGGCAGCAGUGAGGAAUAUUGGUCAAUGGACGCAAGUCUGAACCAGCCAAGUAGCGUGCAGGAUGACGGCCCUAUGGGUUGUAAACUGCUUUUAUGUGGGAAUAAAGUGGCGCACGUGUGCGCCAUUGCAUGUACCUCA
RNAcentral lists this ribosomal RNA (467 nucleotides) under Prevotella nigrescens. RNAcentral's name for it is "bacterial SSU rRNA". It matches the Rfam family "Bacterial small subunit ribosomal RNA", at positions 28 to 482 of the family's 1533-position model. The record is from RNAcentral. Lineage: Bacteria; Pseudomonadati; Bacteroidota; Bacteroidia; Bacteroidales; Prevotellaceae.